This is a small nucleolar RNA of Cornus florida, 107 nucleotides long. RefSeq annotates it as small nucleolar RNA snoR97. NCBI's taxonomy places the organism in Eukaryota, Viridiplantae, Streptophyta, Magnoliopsida, Cornales, Cornaceae. The record is from RefSeq and is a predicted model, not a curated record. The transcript has a single exon.
CUAAAACAGUGGGUUCGGAGUCUGAAACCUAUAGAUCUUGUGUUGAUAUCUGUUUCUUCUCUUGCAUAUUCUACAAGAGAUUGGAGUUAAAUGACAGCACUACAUUU